RNAcentral lists this small nuclear RNA (116 nucleotides) under Procavia capensis (Cape rock hyrax). RNAcentral's name for it is "U5 spliceosomal RNA (ENSPCAG00000019650.1)". It matches the Rfam family "U5 spliceosomal RNA". Rfam says of the family: U5 RNA is a component of both types of known spliceosome. The precise function of this molecule is unknown, though it is known that the 5' loop is required for splice site selection and p220 binding, and that both the 3' stem-loop and the Sm site are important for Sm protein binding and cap methylation. Lineage: Eukaryota; Metazoa; Chordata; Mammalia; Hyracoidea; Procaviidae. The record is from RNAcentral.
AUACUCUGGUUUCUCUUCAGAUCGUAUAAAUCUUUCGCCUUUUACUAAAGAUUUCCGUGGAGAGGAACAACUCUGAGUCUUAAGCCAAUUUUUUGAGGCCUUGCUUCGGCAAGGCU